RNAcentral lists this long non-coding RNA (435 nucleotides) under Vigna radiata. RNAcentral describes it as "long non-coding RNA (VRAD_LNC002663)". Lineage: Eukaryota; Viridiplantae; Streptophyta; Magnoliopsida; Fabales; Fabaceae. The record is from RNAcentral.
GAUUCUAGAAGAGGUAGUGAUGGGUGUCGCACCCCAUGCAAAUUUAAUGUGCAUAAAGAAUGCAGUGUAGACUAGGAAGUGACUCCUAGGUCGUCUCUCAAGGACCAAACUAAGAUUCAGGAUUUAGGUCAAACACGUAGUAGGGGGGUUGUGAAAGGUUUGUGAAUGCGGAUGAAUUAAAUUAAAACAUAGAUGCAAACAGAAAUGUAAAAAUGGAAUGUAAACAGAAAUGUGAAAACAGAAUCAAAUACAGAAUAAAAAUGGUUGGUCAUUAACUCAAUUACUAUGUUUCCAAUCAUAGAUUAAUGACAAGUACAGACUGCUCUAAUCCAAAUCCAACAUGAAUCACCCAACUAAGCGAAGACUAAUUCGGUUUUCAUAAUUGCAAAUUAAGCGAAUGCAAUGCACAAAUUUAAUCAGUCAUGCACCAUAUAG